UGGGGAAUAUUGCACAAUGGGGGAAACCCUGAUGCAGCCAUGCCGCGUGUGUGAAGAAGGCCUUCGGGUUGUAAAGCACUUUCAGCGAGGAGGAAAGGUUGGUCGCUAAUAACGGCCAACUGUGACGUUACUCGCAGAAGAAGCACCGGCUAACUCCGUGCCAGCAGCCGCGGUAAUACGGAGGGUGCAAGCGUUAAUCGGAAUUACUGGGCGUAAAGCGCACGCAGGCGGUUGGAUAAGUUAGAUGUGAAAGCCCCGGGCUCAACCUGGGAAUUGCAUUUAAAACUGUCCAGCUAGAGUCUUGUAGAGGGGGGUAGAAUUCCAGGUGUAGCGGUGAAAUGCGUAGAGAUCUGGAGGAAUACCGGUGGCGAAGGCGGCCCCCUGGACAAAGACUGACGCUCAGGUGCGAAAGCGUGGGGAGCAAACA
RNAcentral lists this ribosomal RNA (427 nucleotides) under uncultured bacterium. Its description in RNAcentral is "bacterial SSU rRNA". It matches the Rfam family "Bacterial small subunit ribosomal RNA", at positions 355 to 774 of the family's 1533-position model. The record is from RNAcentral.